RNAcentral lists this microRNA precursor (63 nucleotides) under Cordylochernes scorpioides. The record is from RNAcentral. Lineage: Eukaryota; Metazoa; Arthropoda; Arachnida; Pseudoscorpiones; Chernetidae.
GGCUUGAACUAAUGGUGAUCUCUAGUUAUAAUCACUUCUAGAGACACCUUUAGUUCUCACCAA